UAUGCUGCGAGGGCGUUUACCUCGAUAGAUGUUGAAAAUGCCCACAGCAUUAUAAAUCAUUUGGACCGCCGAGGGGUCCAAAACUCCUCAAUCGAAGAGCUUAGUAGACAUGCCAGCAACCUACAGAGACUUCAAAUUCUCAGGAAACCUCUCUAGGACGGAAGCUUUAUACUCCGACAUCCACAAUUUACCACGCCCCUGAGAUCGACAAAGGUCUUUCUGAUAGAUUGACUUCCAGCCAAUUCGAUCUAUCGAAGCCGAGUGGGAAGAACAAAGAACUGAAACCCCAUGGUCGCAACGAUUCUCCUCGCGGACAAGGGAGAGUUAGGGCCAUCGGUGGUCACAAGACUGGAUAAUAUUUAUUUUUUAAGCGUUGAGGUUGUCACGAAAGCGUACUGUAACGGGACUAUCAGAUUUGAGUGAUUUGAUUUUGUGAUUUGCAGUUCACGUGAUUUUAUUGUGAUUUUAGACUGUAAAAACUAUAAA
Long non-coding RNA from Bolinopsis microptera, 486 nucleotides. RefSeq lists it as uncharacterized. NCBI's taxonomy places the organism in Eukaryota, Metazoa, Ctenophora, Tentaculata, Lobata, Bolinopsidae. The record is from RefSeq and is a predicted model, not a curated record. The transcript has 2 exons.